Molecule: ribosomal RNA, 575 nt
Filed under: Huckettomyia watanabei
Lineage: Eukaryota; Metazoa; Arthropoda; Insecta; Diptera; Muscidae
Description: partial 12S ribosomal RNA
Rfam family: Microsporidia small subunit ribosomal RNA (bases 1-386)
Source: RNAcentral
UAAAAAAUUUGGCGGUAUUUUAGUCUAUUCAGAGGAACCUGUUCUAUAAUCGAUAAUCCACGAUGGACCUUACUUAAAUUAGUUUUCAGUUUAUAUACCGUCGUUAUUAGAAUAUUUUAUAAGAAUGUUAAUUUUCAUAAUUUUAAAAAAGAAAAUAUAUCAGAUCAAGGUGUAGCUUAUAUUUAAGUAGAAAUGGGUUACAAUAAAUAUAUUUAAAUGGAUAUAAAUUUGAAAAGUUUAUUAAAAGUGGAUUUGAUAGUAAAUUUAUAAAGAUUAAUAAUUUGAUUUUAGCUCUAAAAUAUGCACACAUCGCCCGUCACUCUUAUUAUUAAGAUAAGAUAAGUCGUAACAUAGUAGAUGUACUGGAAAGUGUACCUAGAAUGCAAUUUAAAGCUUAAUUAGUAAAGUAUUUCAUUUACAUUGAAAAGAUUUUUGUGCAAAUCAAUAUAGAUUGAUUUAAAUUUUAUUUAUUAAUAAUUUUUAUUUAAGAUUAAUUUAUUAAAAAUAAUUAUAUAAAGUUUUGUUUUAGUAUUUUAUAAAUAAAAAAUAAUUUAAAUUAUAGUGUAAUAGUAUUG